CUAUCAUUUCUUCAUUCUUUUUCGUUAGUUUUCCUUUCUCCUACACGAUCGUAGAUGGACUUCCAAAAAUACUCAUGGACGGUUUGCUCUGUGGUCGUGCGGGUACCGUCUCUUUUGCUGUUGUACUUUCGUAUCUCUACGUGCAAGACGGGAAGAAGACAAUUUUAGUGCUCUUAUAUUCUCGAAUGUGAAGCUUCCCUUUCGCAUCGGAUUGACGACUGUUCCGGUCUUAUCUCGUCGGGAAUUCUGUGUCCCUAUGACAACAGGGGUCAAUGAUUCCGACUCAGUGGACUCUACUUUGAUCCAAUCCAUGGGAAGGAAGAGAUGAUCUGAAAGAAAGCUUCAACUCCAGAUCUUCAAGCUAAAGUAGUAGAGUUGUUGCAGUUAAGCAAUUGGAUAGAAAUGGGCUUCAAGGUAAUCGAAAAUUUUGUGUUGAGGUUCUUAUGUUCAGUUUUUUAUGUCUUUCUAACCUUGUAAAUUUAAUCGAUUACUGUGCUGAUGGGGACCAGAGGCUACUUGUCUAUUAGUUCAUGCCCUUGGGAUCCUUGGAAGAUCAUCUUCAUGAUAUCAUUUCAGGCAUUCUUGUUCAUUAUCUUGUCAAUUGUUUGCGACUUAGUUAUUGCAUGUUCAACAAGAAGUCCAUUCCAUUUUAAAAUUGAAUUUACAUGUUUACUGAAAUUUAUGAACUGCAUAAACUUUUUUAAGGAAGACAUGAUGACAGUGCAAGUUUUGUUUAGAAAGUUAAUUGGGUUUUUUCUAC
This is a long non-coding RNA of Coffea eugenioides, 760 nucleotides long. RefSeq lists it as uncharacterized. NCBI's taxonomy places the organism in Eukaryota, Viridiplantae, Streptophyta, Magnoliopsida, Gentianales, Rubiaceae. The transcript is spliced from 3 exons. The record is from RefSeq and is a predicted model, not a curated record.